CUGCACCGCGGUCCCGGUCCAGAGCCUGCACGCCUCCGCCCUCCCGCCCCGGAACCUGCUGCGCCCGAGGGUCCCCAGCCCUGCGGGGCGGCGCAGCUCGGGGGCGCCCGCGGGAGCUCAGGUGCGGCUGGCGCCGCGGGGACCGGCCGCGCCGAGACCCGGGUCACCUCCGGGGCCCGCGCUCCGCGAGCGCCUCCACGCCGGCUCGGAAGGCUAGCCCCAGAGGAGAUUACAGCGCGUUCCCUAUGGGACCUUCCGAAGCCCAUUAGCCCUGAUGGCCGGCACGACGUCUGGUCAGAGGCCCUAACUGCCCUGGGAAGGACAGCCGCAGACCCCCUCCACGAAGGACAAAGGGCAGGAAAGGCUCCUGUGCCCUGAAGACACCAGGAUGCCUCAUAGAAGAUAAGAAUUUUUCCAGAGGACAGGCCCCAGCUUUGAUGAAAACAGCCCCAGUCACAAGCUGAUGCCCAGCAGGAGAACGUUUUUCCCUUAAGGCUACCCUUUUCUUUGUUCUUGAGAUGCUUACGUCAUGGUUAGCAGAAAUGUACCAUCAAUUUUAUCUCACAUCUAUUAAAUAAAACAUCU
This is a long non-coding RNA of Manis pentadactyla (Chinese pangolin), 585 nucleotides long. RefSeq lists it as uncharacterized. The record is from RefSeq and is a predicted model, not a curated record. NCBI's taxonomy places the organism in Eukaryota, Metazoa, Chordata, Mammalia, Pholidota, Manidae. The transcript has 2 exons.